Molecule: ribosomal RNA, 548 nt
Filed under: uncultured Glomeromycotina
Lineage: Eukaryota; Fungi; Glomeromycota
Description: SSU rRNA
Rfam family: Eukaryotic small subunit ribosomal RNA
Source: RNAcentral
UUGGAGGGCAGUCUGGUGCAGCAGCCGCGGUAAUUCCAGCUCCAAUAGCGUAUAUUAAAGUUGUUGCAGUUAAAAAGCUCGUAGUUGAACUUCGGGGUUUACCCAUUGGUCAGGCUUAAUUGUCUGUACUGGUGAGAUGAAUCUCUACCUUCUGAGGAACUUUCAUGCCAUUUAUUUGGUGUGAUGGGAAAUCAGGACUGUUACUUUGAAAAAUUAGAGUGUUUAAAGCAGACUAUCGUCUGAAUACAUUAGCAUGGAAUAAUGAAAUAGGACGGACUGAUUCUAUUUCGUUGGUUUCUAGGAUCACCGUAAUGAUUAAUAGGGAUAGUUGGGGGCAUUAGUAUUCAAUUGUCAGAGGUGAAAUUCUUGGAUUUAUUGAAGACUAACUACUGCGAAAGCAUUUGCCAAGGAUGUUUUCAUUAAUCAAGAACGAAAGUUAGGGGAUCGAAGACGAUCAGAUACCGUCGUAGUCUUAACCAUAAACUAUGCCGACUAGGGAUCGGACGAAGUUAAUUUUAUAAUGACGCGUUCGGCGCCUUACGGGAAAC